UCCGUGAGCUAGCAUUUAUAUUGAGCGAUAAUCUUGCACAUCCGCGCAAAAGUUGUUGAUUGUCUGAACUCGGAACGCAAUUAUUUUAUUUGGAGUUCUAUCUGAUCCUUACAAGCUGCAGCUCUCCGAAGAUGGCUGAAGAAAACGAAGAAACCGUUGACGCGAACACUAACGUUCCUCUGUGGGUCAACGUCACUGUUCCGAUAGCCUUGUGUGCGAUGUUUAUUUUCGUCCUCGUGUGGCUGUAUAAGACAAAACGAGAGGUUUCCGUUGAAAAACUUGAACAUUUGGCCGGUAAACUACCAAUUCUUAGAAACCAUCUUACGACGGAAUGGGUAUGUGAAGAAGAAGUCGCAGUUCAAGUCCAAGAAGAAAAACCAGCGAUUACUACAUUCGUUGAACCAGGAAAGGCCGGAGUUGCUCUGGACAAGGGAGGCAAAAUUUCGGUGUCUAAAACCCUGGGAAUGGAAAUCUCCUUUGUUUCGGGGCAUGACCAUGCAGGUCAAAUGACGUACACAAACGCAGGUUUUGAUAAUAAUUGUGAAAGAUUUUGCACUAAGUUGUAAUGAAAUUACGAGGAUUUACUGGAGGUGUUUGCUUGGCGCUGUUGUUUAAUAACUAACGUCCAGUAUAGCGUUGUCUACAAACAACAUGUUCAAAUCACCUUCAAAAUUUUAGACGUAUUUUUUUACAAACAAACAGUUUGAAGUUUGACAUUUGUUCUAUAUGAUAAAUCUAUGUAUUUCUUGUAAAAUGUAAACGGAGCUAAUAUAAGCGAAUGCUAGGGUUGUGUCAGGGUCGCUCAUUUGUAAGCCUGGAAUUUUAUACAUACACUAUCUAGAACACUCUUAAGACUCAAACUGUUCAGCAGAUACGAACGUUUGAGACUGAAGUUUCAGAUAUAAUUUGGAGUGCUUCUAUUGUAUGUGUGUUAAAAUAGUCGUACCAUGAACCUUAAUUAUAAAAGAAAUUAGUCUAGAAUAUAC
Long non-coding RNA from Mya arenaria, 986 nucleotides. RefSeq lists it as uncharacterized. The transcript has 3 exons. Lineage: Eukaryota; Metazoa; Mollusca; Bivalvia; Myida; Myidae. The record is from RefSeq and is a predicted model, not a curated record.